ACGGAGUUUUCGGACAAUGGAUGUAGAGGAAAGUGGCGGACGGGUGAGUAACGCGUGAGGAACCUGCCUUGAAGAGGGGGACAACAGUUGGAAACGACUGCUAAUACCGCAUGAAAUCAUAGGAAGGCAUCUUCUAAUGAUCAAAGGAGCAAUCCACUUUGAGAUGGGCUCGCGUCCGAUUAGGUAGUUGGUGGGGCAACGGCCUACCAAGCCGACGAUCGGUAGCCGGACUGAGAGGUUGAACGGCCACAUUGGGACUGAGAUACGGCCCAGACUCC
Molecule: ribosomal RNA, 278 nt
Filed under: uncultured bacterium
Lineage: Bacteria
Description: partial 16S ribosomal RNA
Rfam family: Bacterial small subunit ribosomal RNA
Source: RNAcentral